GACGGAGGGGGCAAGCGUUGUCCGGACUCACUGGGCGUAAAGGGUGCGUAGGCGGUCUUGUGCGUCGGCGCUGAAAUCACACGGCUCAACCGUGUGGCGCGUGCCGAUACGACGAGACUUGAGGCUCUGAGAGGGUGGCGGAACUCCUGGUGUAGCGGUGAAAUGCGCAGAUAUCAGGAGGAACACCAGCGGCGAAGGCGCUGCUCUGGGCCGGUACUGACGCUGAGGAGCGAAAGCGUGGGGAGCGAACAGG
RNAcentral lists this ribosomal RNA (253 nucleotides) under uncultured bacterium. Its description in RNAcentral is "partial 16S ribosomal RNA". It matches the Rfam family "Bacterial small subunit ribosomal RNA", at positions 524 to 776 of the family's 1533-position model. The record is from RNAcentral.